Gossypium raimondii (Peruvian cotton) is the source of this 87-nucleotide non-coding RNA. NCBI's taxonomy places the organism in Eukaryota, Viridiplantae, Streptophyta, Magnoliopsida, Malvales, Malvaceae. The record is from Rfam.
CCUGAGGGCGCGCUUUGCCUACGUGGCAACAAAGCGCGCUUACGUGGACGCGUUUUGUUGCCACGUAGGCAAAGCGCGCUGACGUGG